RNAcentral lists this ribosomal RNA (486 nucleotides) under uncultured bacterium. RNAcentral describes it as "bacterial SSU rRNA". It matches the Rfam family "Bacterial small subunit ribosomal RNA", at positions 28 to 511 of the family's 1533-position model. The record is from RNAcentral.
GAUGAACGCUGGCGGCGUGCUUAACACAUGCAAGUCGAACGAAGAAGAGUUGAAUGAGAGCUUCGGCAGGAUUUCUUCUCAUCUUAGUGGCGGACGGGUGAGUAACGUGUGGGCAACCUGCCCUAUACUGGGGAAUAAUCACUGGAAACGGUGACUAAUACCGCAUGUCAUCACCGGAGGGCAUCCUCUGGUGAAAAAAGGAGCAAUUCGGUAUAGGAUGGGCCCGCAUCUGAUUAGCUAGUUGGUGAGAUAACAGCCCACCAAGGCGACGAUCAGUAGCCGACCUGAGAGGGUGAUCGGCCACAUUGGGACUGAGACACGGCCCAAACUCCUACGGGAGGCAGCAGUGGGAAUAUUGCACAAGUGGGGGAAACCCUGAUGCAGCAACGCCGCGUGAAGGAUGAAGGUUUUCGGAUCGUAAAGCUCUGUCUUAGGGGACGAUAAUGACGGUACCCUGAGAGGAAGCCACGGCUAACUACGUGCCAG